RNAcentral lists this transfer-messenger RNA (359 nucleotides) under Desulfovibrionaceae. RNAcentral describes it as "Halodesulfovibrio subterraneus Standard tmRNA". It matches the Rfam family "transfer-messenger RNA". Rfam says of the family: Bacterial tmRNA, also known as 10Sa RNA or SsrA, is named for its dual tRNA and mRNA-like properties. Its role is to liberate the mRNA from a stalled ribosome. To accomplish this part of the tmRNA is used as a reading frame that ends in a translation stop signal. RNAcentral also lists the same sequence under 1 other name. Lineage: Bacteria; Pseudomonadati; Thermodesulfobacteriota; Desulfovibrionia; Desulfovibrionales. The record is from RNAcentral.
GGGGGCGCCCUGGUUUCGACGGGGAUUGAAGAUGCCGGAGUGGCAGGCCGAGGCGCCGCUGGCCUCGUUAAAAGCGGCACAAAAGUAAUUGCCAACGAUAAUUACGAAUACGCACUGGCUGCUUAAUUGACAGUCACAUCUGCAGGGUUGAUGUCUGAUAGAUCUCGCAGAUGACAAACUUAUCAGGCUGGCUUUCGAUGGCGUUCACCCCUGAGAAAGUAAGAACAUAUAGAUGAACUGGCUGCAGGCCACCUGGUCAUGGGUAACACUUGCAGCGAGAUUACGAACAUGACCUAAGCCUGUAGAAGCUUCGAGCGGACCAUUCUCGGACGCGAGUUCGAUUCUCGCCGCCUCCACCA